GCGUGCAAGCUAUUCGCAUGACAAGGCACUGCAAACUCUAUUCAGGGAAGAUAAUAGAGUUUCAAAACUUUACAAUUGCUCCAAUAAACCAGUAAAUACAAGCGAGGAGCGAUUAGUUUCAUUCUUUUAGGAAAUAGACUUGCCUUCGUUUUGAAUUCUUUUAGGAAAUAUACUUGCCUAGAUUUAAUCUUUACGCCCCAAAUAUUAUUUACAUCGGAGUUGCAUCAUAAAUUGUACUCGGAUUCAAACAACACAAUGUCAAUGACUUUAUAAAAGUAAAAGCAUAUUGUGUAUUGGCCUAUUGGGUUUACACUUUUACAGGUUCAUUUAACUUUAAGUCUUUAACUCUCUCAAGUUUCAACAGACAAUCGGACAUGCCAAAUCCAUUGAUAUGACAAAUUGACAACUUCAAAAAACUUCGAAGCUAGAAAUCAUGAUUUUUUUCAAAUUUUUCCUGGGAUACUUUGUUUUCUGCUCUCUAGUCUCCCACUCGCGGC
This is a non-coding RNA of Paramuricea clavata, 497 nucleotides long. NCBI's taxonomy places the organism in Eukaryota, Metazoa, Cnidaria, Anthozoa, Malacalcyonacea, Plexauridae. The record is from the annotation of a GenBank genome assembly.